RNAcentral lists this ribosomal RNA (216 nucleotides) under Glomeromycotina sp. Its description in RNAcentral is "partial small subunit ribosomal RNA". The stretch from base 40 to 216 matches the Rfam family "Eukaryotic small subunit ribosomal RNA", at positions 686 to 864 of the family's 1831-position model. Lineage: Eukaryota; Fungi; Glomeromycota. The record is from RNAcentral.
GGGUCAGUAGGUUGGUCGUGCCACCGGUACGUACUGGUCUCACUGAUUCCUCCUUCCUGAAGAACCGUAAUGCCAUUAAUUUGGUGUUGCGGGGAAACAGGACUGUUACUUUGAAAAGAUUAGAGUGUUUAAAGCAAGCUAACGCUUGAAUACAUUAGCAUGGAAUAAUGAAAUAGGACGAUCGAUCCUAUUUUGUUGGUUUCUAGGAUUGACGUA